ACUUGCAAGACCAGGCUAGCCCGCAAGGAGAUUCUAGGGACGAAUAUCAUAGAGGACAAACCUCCGAAAUCUUAGAAAGCCCUCUGGAAGAGGUAGAGGAUCUUCCUGGGGAGGAGAAUCCGGAAGAGAUUCCUAGAAGGGCUCAGAGUUCUUCUCCGCCACCUGGCUUAGAAACCCAAAUUCAAAAUGGUGAUAGUGCAGAGUCUGACCAUGACUCGCAGUCUGAGGGAGAAGAAUCAGACAUGGAAAUUCAGGACUUACAGAGGAAUCUUAACAGGCUGCGUUUAACACCACCUGCCCAGGCUAUUCGAAUUCGGCCAGUGCCUGCUAAAAGGACAAAAUUUAACAGGUUGUACGUGCACAUCCUAUAGAUGAAGCUUUAUCAGUGUUCACGGAUGGUUCUAACUCAGAAGGCGCAUUCCAUCCUAUUUGGGUACCUGAACGUGCUAUCAGACAUGGAAGAGAUAGAACCCAGAUUCAAGUGACUGAGGAUCGACCCAGAUGAGCCCCUAUCCAGAAGGAGGAGAUAUCGGAAAAGGAUGAAGAAAGACCAGAUUGACCCAGCCGAAAAGCUGAUUUCAUGGGAAGACGUGAAGAAGCUAACAACCCAGGCUUCCCGAAUACUUCGACACCUAGGAGAGAACAGGACCCCAGUGAUGAUGGUAGCAACAGUAAUUGCCCUGUUGGGCUGUCAGGAUGGCGAGUCUUCAGAACAAGAAUACAGAAACUCCAAAGAGUGAACCGCUGCCUCAUUUUUAAGAAUAGAAAGGGGGAAUAUGUGGGGAGCCAUUCUCACGUGUGACUGGGUGACUCCCGGUUUGGGUCUGAGGCAUUCUGGCUGUGUCGGAACUUUCCCGGCCCUUUCCUGAUGAGAGAACCAGUCCGUGUGGGGGUGUGACUGACCACUGACCCCGGCGGCCCAAUCACUGACCCUGACCUUGGAGUGCGGCCCCCCCCUCAACCUUCAUUGGAUGGAAUUAUCCCCUGAAUUUCUUGUUCCCCAAUAAAAGGCUACUCCCUGGCAUGUUCACUCUCUCUCUCUCCUGCUAGCCCUGAGUAAUCCUUGCUGCCCUGCUGGGCGGUUAGAGGAGGGAACCAGAGAGGGGAGCCGUCUCGGACCUGGCAAUAGAAAA
Long non-coding RNA from Marmota monax (woodchuck), 1133 nucleotides. RefSeq lists it as uncharacterized. NCBI's taxonomy places the organism in Eukaryota, Metazoa, Chordata, Mammalia, Rodentia, Sciuridae. The transcript has 4 exons. The record is from RefSeq and is a predicted model, not a curated record.